GACGAACGCUGGCGGCGUGCUUAACACAUGCAAGUCGAACGCUGAAGCUUGGUGCUUGCACUGGGUGGAAGAGUGGCGAACGGGUGAGUAAUACGUGAGUAACCUGCCCUUGACUCUGGGAUAAGCCUGGGAAACUGGGUCUAAUACUGGAUACGACAUGUCACCGCAUGGUGGUGUGUGGAAAGGGUUUUACUGGUUUUGGAUGGGCUCACGGCCUAUCAGCUUGUUGGUGGGGUAAUGGCUCACCAAGGCGACGACGGGUAGCCGGCCUGAGAGGGUGACCGGCCACACUGGGACUGAGACACGGCCCAGACUCCUACGGGAGGCAGCAGUGGGGAAUAUUGCACAAUGGGCGGAAGCCUGAUGCAGCGACGCCGCGUGAGGGAUGACGGCCUUCGGGUUGUAAACCUCUUUCAGCACGGAAGAAGCGAAAGUGACGGUACGUGCAGAAGAAGCGCCGGCUAACUACGUG
RNAcentral lists this ribosomal RNA (472 nucleotides) under uncultured bacterium. RNAcentral describes it as "partial 16S ribosomal RNA". It matches the Rfam family "Bacterial small subunit ribosomal RNA", at positions 28 to 507 of the family's 1533-position model. The record is from RNAcentral.